CCGCAAGGCGUGGCACACGGCUCAGUAACACGUAGUCAACAUGCCCAAAGGACGUGGAUAACCUCGGGAAACUGAGGAUAAACCGCGAUAGGCCAAGGUUUCUGGAAUGAGCCAUGGCCGAAACCUAUAUGGCCUUUGGAUUGGACUGCGGCCGAUCAGGCUGUUGGUGAGGUAAUGGCCCACCAAACCUGUAACCGGUACGGGCUUUGAGAGAAGUAGCCCGGAGAUGGGCACUGAGACAAGGGCCCAGGCCCUAUGGGGCGCAGCAGGCGCGAAACCUCUGCAAUAGGCGAAAGCCUGACAGGGUUACUCUGAGUGAUGCCCGCUAAGGGUAUCUUUUGGCACCUCUAAAAAUGGUGCAGAAUAAGGGGUGGGCAAGUCUGGUGUCAGCCGCCGCGGUAAUACCAGCACCCCGAGUUGUCGGGACGAUUAUUGGGCCUAAAGCAUCCGUAGCCUGUUCUGCAAGUCCUCCGUUAAAUCCACCUGCUCAACGGAUGGGCUGCGGAGGAUACCGCAGAGCUAGGAGGCGGGAGAGGCAAACGGUACUCAGUGGGUAGGGGUAAAAUCCAUUGAUCUACUGAAGACCACCAGUGGCGAAGGCGGUUUGCCAGAACGCGCUCGACGGUGAGGGAUGAAAGCUGGGGGAGCAAACCGGAUUAGAUACCCGGGUAGUCCCAGCUGUAAAC
RNAcentral lists this ribosomal RNA (686 nucleotides) under uncultured Nitrososphaerota archaeon. RNAcentral describes it as "bacterial SSU rRNA". It matches the Rfam family "Archaeal small subunit ribosomal RNA", at positions 69 to 758 of the family's 1478-position model. Lineage: Archaea; Thermoproteati; Nitrososphaerota. The record is from RNAcentral.